This is a long non-coding RNA of Rhineura floridana, 361 nucleotides long. RefSeq lists it as uncharacterized. NCBI's taxonomy places the organism in Eukaryota, Metazoa, Chordata, Lepidosauria, Squamata, Rhineuridae. The record is from RefSeq and is a predicted model, not a curated record. The transcript is spliced from 3 exons.
GACAACCCUGAAGUGUAGUCCACUGUUGUUAAACUGUUUUUUUCCCUUGGGAAGUGAAAAGGGAAUACAAUGGGGAGGAGGCUGUGGAAUUGAUGGUUAUUAGCAGUGCAGUUAAAGACUGGAGGAAGUGAAGGGAGACAGGAAAAGAACUGAGAAUUUCAGAGGAAUGAGACACUGGACAGCUGCCUGGGAUUGUAAAGAAACUGCUUUGUCAACAAAUAAACAUGGAUCCACAGUGUGAAAGGUGUGUAUAAUCUAACUAUCCCUGAAGCAAGAAAGAAAUUAAGAAAACUAUUGGUGCAACUUUCAUCUAGUUAUCCACAGUUAUAUUUUGUAUAAACAAUAAAGCCAUGCCGAACAA